AUCUGGUUGGCUCAGCCAGUAGAGCAUGAGACUCUCAACCUCGAGGUCGUGAGUUCAAAUUCCACAUAAAACA
This 73-nucleotide transfer RNA is filed under the name Mustela putorius furo (domestic ferret). It matches the Rfam family "tRNA". From Rfam's summary of the family: Transfer RNA (tRNA) molecules are approximately 80 nucleotides in length. Their secondary structure includes four short double-helical elements and three loops (D, anti-codon, and T loops). The record is from Rfam by way of RNAcentral. Lineage: Eukaryota; Metazoa; Chordata; Mammalia; Carnivora; Mustelidae.